RNAcentral lists this ribosomal RNA (460 nucleotides) under uncultured bacterium. Its description in RNAcentral is "partial 16S ribosomal RNA". It matches the Rfam family "Bacterial small subunit ribosomal RNA", at positions 338 to 795 of the family's 1533-position model. The record is from RNAcentral.
CCUACGGGAGGCAGCAGUGAGGAAUAUUGGUCAAUGAGCGCGAGCCUGAACCAGCCAAGUAGCGUGAAGGAUGACUGCCCUACGGGUUGUAAACUUCUUUUAUAAAGGAAUAAAUUGAGGCAAGUGUGCCUUUUUGUAUGUACUUUAUGAAUAAGGAUCGGCUAACUCCGCGCCAACAGCCGCGGUAAUACGGAGGAUCCGAGCGUUAUCCGGAUAUAUUUGGUUUAAAGGGAGCGUAGAUGGGUUGUUAAGUCAGUUGUGAAAGUUUGCGGGUCAACCGUAAAAUUGCAAUUGAUACUGGCAGCCUUGAGUAACAUUGAGGUAGGCGGAAUUCGUGGUGUAGCGGUGAAAUGCUUAGAUAUCACGAAGAACUCCGAUUGCGAAGGCAGCUUACUAAACUGCCACUGACAUUGAUGCUCGAAAGUGUGGGUAUCAAACAGGAUUAGAUACCCGUGUAGUC